Antechinus flavipes (yellow-footed antechinus) is the source of this 4094-nucleotide long non-coding RNA. RefSeq lists it as uncharacterized. The record is from RefSeq and is a predicted model, not a curated record. NCBI's taxonomy places the organism in Eukaryota, Metazoa, Chordata, Mammalia, Dasyuromorphia, Dasyuridae. The transcript is spliced from 2 exons.
CCAGAGAUCAGCCACUGGUGAGGGAGGGGCCUUGGCUCCCUAGCGCCUCCCAGAGAAGCUUGGUUUGGCUUUCAAGGUCUAGGGCCUCUCCCUUUCACCCCCUCCCACCACUCUAGAACUCCGGUAAGGGCCCCAAUCUCCAUCCCCUGAGAGGCCACACUGGGCCAAGGAGCCUCAUUGGGAUUUCUGCCAAGGCCUCCUGACUCGUCUCCCUGCUUUGAGCUGCAUUUUGUGCUGUCCUUAAAAGCAAAGGUUGUGUCACUGCCUGGCACACAGCAGGCAUUUCAUAAAUGUUUCCCAAGUGAUUUUCCAGAAGCUCCCACUGACUUGAAUCACUCCCCUGAGCCUCCUGGCCUUCCCUCCCCAUCCUGCCUUUCUCUGCUCCUCACACACAGAGAGCUCCCUCGACCACCUCCAUGUUGCUGCAAGGCCUUCCCUCCUCACCUCCGGCUCAAAGAAUCCCUCUCUUCCUUCAGAAUCCCACCCCCCAAGUGUUUGUGCAGUGGUGCUGGGGUGGUCCUACAUGGGCCUCUGAGACCCUUGAGAUCAAACCAUUUUGAAUACAUAAAGACAUUUAAAUUCUAUUACAAUACCGAGAGACAUAACCCACACAAACAAAUGCUCUUUGAGGGAGGGUCCUCAAUUUUAUUUAAGAGUAUAAAGGGACCCAGGGACUAAAAAGUUUGAGCAGUAUUUUUCUCCCUAGCUCUGUGGAAGACUUCAAAUAAUGACUUGGACUAGUAAGGGGUCCCUCCUGAGCUGUAAGGGGGCCUCCCUUCUAGAACACCCUCACGUCCUAGUCAUUAUUUGCAUUUAUUUAGUACACACUUCUUUUCUAACCCUCCUGCCAAACACAUUCUUGUUUGCAUUUAUCAAAGGCCACUCUCGAAGAGGACAAAAAUGGCACCACUACAUCAGGAUCCAGACCGAAAUGACAGCACGGGGUCGGGGUCGAGGUCCACAGGGUCUGACUGGCUAAUCAGACUCAUAAGAGCUGGGAUGCUCUGCCACAGGAGGCACACAAAUAGUCCCUACAAACAUUCGGCUGGCUUCUCUCCUAAUUCACUUCUGCUUUGCUCUUAGAGCCCGGCACCUUGUCUGGCAAGGGCCGUCAUACAAUCAGUCCAAAAGUUCUUCAGAGAGCCCUCGAGUGUCCUGGCGGCACUUUUCUGACCACCUUGUGAGCGCUGGCCAUGUGUCAGUUCUUCAGAAAAGAACAGUGUGGCUGCCCCCAUGGAGCUGUGCAGGGGAGGCGGGACGCUUGGCGCUCUGUGGAGGAAAGGACCUCGGCGUGGGUCACCUUCUCCUGCCAGGUGAUCUCGGCCAAGACCAUUCAAACGGAAGCAAAGAGAUUUCUCGGCAAGGCGCCGGUGGCCUGGCCAGGUUUCACAGGCACAGCGCCCGCUAGCUCUUCAGUCGGGUGGUCAGUCUAAUCCCUCUGCUCUCCCACACUUUUCUUCGGAACCUCCCAGACUCCAAGCGACCUCUGGCACCACGUGCGUCGAUCUCAUUAUCCGUGUGGACACCCCUGGAAAGUGCUGCAGGCGAGGGAGCCGAUCCCCAGCACUCCCGGCUUCCCCACUUACCGGACCCAGGGUCCCCGCACGGACCGCGUGGUGCUGGCUGGUGCAGGACCUGGGUUUUCGGGUGUUAAUUGCAGAGGAAAGGAGGCCCUUGGGCCAAAUGUCUAAUUUUUUCUGCUUCUCAAGAACAGAAGUAUUUGUAACCCUACAAGUUGGCACAAAGCAGGUGUUUUUAAGAAAUACUGUGUACCGAGAACAGGCCCCUGCGGCGGGCAGGCACUUAAUGCUCACGGAUGGGCGGGGCACACACUAGGCGCUUCAUCCUGGCUCCAGAAUUUAAUGACCUAAACCACCGGGUGGGUCUUCAUCCUCCCAGCCAGCCUGAGGGUCUUCAGAAGCUUCCCACAAGGAUUCGCCACCAUUGGGGGGCGGCCCCAGGACGUACUCCUCCCGUUUCAGCCUCUCCUCCCACUCAUUAAGCGCCUGCCCAGGGGCUCCUCCCUCAGGGCGCCUCGGCAAGGCCCGGGAAGAUCAGGCUCCUCCCAGCUGGGAGGUCCGAGGUCAGUCACCCAGCCUGGUUGCCUCAGUUUCCUCAUCUGUAAGCGGGGCUCGGGAAGGAGAUGGCCAACCCUGCAGUCCCUUUGCCAAGGAAACCCCAAAUGGGAUCGGGGAGCCGGGAAACCGAGGGGACAGCGGCCACAACCUCUCCUGGGUGGGGGCAGGAGGGGACGCUCCGCACAGCGACCCCACCAUCUGAAGACCCCUUGGAGUUUUCAGGUUCGGGACAACCGGUGCUUAGACUGUCACCUAGGAAGGUCUCGGUGCCGACUGGCGCCACCUGGCGGUCACGUGGGGACUGAGGCUAGGGCUGAAUUAAGAGUCUAAAGUGCUUCCGACGCCAGGGGGCGUGCGAGCAGAAGCCCUGGUGCCGGAGGUGACGUCACACCCCGGCUCCCAGGUCCUAGGACCUCCUCCUCCCCCGCCCUCACCUGGUGUCAGAACCAACUCCGGGGAGGGCACCGCCCUCAGGACUCCACUUCCCAGCGGCCCCCACGGAAGCCUCUGCCACCUGGGCUGGCCCCGCUGUCAGGCCCAGCCUCCCCAAGUCCCGACGCUGGACUCACCGCCUCCUGAGACGUCGCACGGAGCCCCGCCGCCGUCGCGAACGGACACUGACCCCGUGCCCUGGACCGGAGGAUCGGGCACUUCCGAUUUUUUACGUCACUUCCGGGAGCUUUGUCCUCGCCCCAUAACCUGUCUCUAUGGCAACGCAUUUCUAACAGGGGAGGCCGCAGCGUGUGUGUGCCGCUCGGGCCCAGCGCCUGAUGGGAGAUGUAGUUCGGCUUGGAGGGAUGGCCUCCUGCCCCCUGACUUAGGCUACUCGGCCCUCCCCCCAUAUUGUCCACCUGCCAAGUGACCCCCCGCGCAGAACUUUCUCCAGAGCUACCACCUCUGGUCUGGGGCACUCAGCCCUGCCUAACUGCGGGGGCUGCCCAUGAAUAAAUGCUCCAGGGAGAGCCCUGGGCUUGAGGUCUCUAAGUUAAAUGCAAGCGGGGCAAGCCGGCUCAUAGUUUGCCUCAGUUUCCUCAUCUGUAAAAUGAGUUGGAGGAGGAAUUGGCCAACCAUCAAGAAAACCCCCAAUGGGGUCACAAGGAGCGGGGCAAGACCAAAAAGCACCCCAGAGGCAGCCACCCAGAACUCCCUCCCACCCCACCCCCACCUGGGGUGGCUCUGAAUCAGGAGAGCCCCAGCAGCGGCAGGCAAGCAGAACGAGGCCUUGCUCUGGUCAUCCCUGGACCUCCUCAGCGCUGUCCCCUUAAGCCUGAACCCACUCUCCUUCAGAUGCCAGAGCGUGCCCGUCAUGGUUUUACAGAGUCGGGCCUCUGGCUGACUGUUCAUAAGCAGCACAGGUGGGGGCUUAGGACAGAGGAUCCAAGUCACUGGUUGCCUUCUGGGGGUCCUGCACCAGCAUCCAUUUCCUUGGUGAGGGUUCUGUGUUGGGGGACCACAGGGUAGAGAGGGGACCUCGGGAUCUCAAAGGGCGCGUCGGCGGAGCAGCCCCACUGGCCCUGCAGCCGAUGCCGUCCAUCUGUCAGGUUCGGAGAGGCUCUUGGCAGGCUGGCGGCCCUUGGGCGAUGACUGGGGCCAACUCUGCACGCCAGGCCAGAAACCCAGACAGCGCCCGGCAGUAGUGAGGGAAGCAUGAAUUAGGGAUCCACACUGUGCGCCAGGACCCCACUAAGCACUGGGAACACGCAGAAUCCUGGCCGCAGGGAUCUCAUGGGGAUGGCGCGUCCCAAUACAGGCCUCACAUUUCCUUCUGCCCGGCUAAAGCGUCCUUUGUGCGGAGGUGAAAGUCGUGGCGUUUCAAAACAAAAAAAAGAUGGGGCUGAAAGUCUGCCAUCUUGGGCUUUUUGACAAAAAAAAAAGAAAGGCAGGAAAACCUAGUUUUCCUUAGACUGAUAGAUUUGAGUGGAUUUGGAAUAGGUUGGAGUAGUUAUUAUUAGGGGCUCAUUUUUUUCUUUUUCAGAUUUUAAUGUAUUGAUGUUUUAAUAAAGAAUGAAAUAAAUA